UAGAGGAAGUAAAAGUCGUAACAAGGUCUCCGUUGGUGAACCAGCGGAGGGAUCAUUACUGAGUUUACGCUCUAUAACCCUUUGUGAACAUACCUAUAACUGUUGCUUCGGCGGGUAGGGUCUCCGCGACCCUCCCGGCCUCCCGCCUCCGGGCGGGUCGGCGCCCGCCGGAGGAUAACCAAACUCUGAUUUAACGACGUUUCUUCUGAGUGGUACAAGCAAAUAAUCAAAACUUUUAACAACGGAUCUCUUGGUUCUGGCAUCGAUGAAGAACGCAGCGAAAUGCGAUAAGUAAUGUGAAUUGCAGAAUUCAGUGAAUCAUCGAAUCUUUGAACGCACAUUGCGCCCGCCAGCAUUCUGGCGGGCAUGCCUGUUCGAGCGUCAUUUCAACCCUCAAGCUCUGCUUGGUGUUGGGGCCCUACAGCUGAUGUAGGCCCUCAAAGGUAGUGGCGGACCCUCCCGGAGCCUCCUUUGCGUAGUAACUUUACGUCUCGCACUGGGAUCCGGAGGGACUCUUGCCGUAAAACCCCCCAAUUUUCCAAAGGUUGACCUCGGAUCAGGUAGGAAUACCCGCUGAACUUAAGCAUAUCA
RNAcentral lists this ribosomal RNA (591 nucleotides) under Colletotrichum sp. ETHCTR156. RNAcentral describes it as "eukaryotic LSU rRNA". The stretch from base 231 to 384 matches the Rfam family "5.8S ribosomal RNA". The record is from RNAcentral. Lineage: Eukaryota; Fungi; Ascomycota; Sordariomycetes; Glomerellales; Glomerellaceae.